Molecule: ribosomal RNA, 430 nt
Filed under: uncultured bacterium
Lineage: Bacteria
Description: bacterial SSU rRNA
Rfam family: Bacterial small subunit ribosomal RNA
Source: RNAcentral
GGGUCCACACAAGCGGUGGAACAUGUGGUUUAAUUCGACAAUACGCGAGGAACCUUACCUGGGCUUGACAUGCCCUGACAACCAUAGAAAUAUGGCUUUCCAAGCUUUUGUUUGGACAGGUGCACAGGUGCUGCAUGGCUGUCGUCAGCUCGUGUCGUGAGAUGUUAGGUUAAGUCCUCUAACGAGCGCAACCCCUACUGCCAGUUGCCACUUGCGUGAGCAAAGCACUCUGGCGGGACUGCUUGGGAAACCAAGAGGAAGGUGGGGACGACGUCAAGUCAUCAUGGUCCUUAUGUCCAGGGGCUACACACGUGUUACAAUGGCCGGUACAGCAAGAUGCAAUCCUGUAAGGGGGAGCAAAACUUUAAAGCCGGUCUAAGUUCGGAUUGAGGUCUGCAACUCGACCUCAUGAAGUUGAAAUCGCUAGUAA